Molecule: long non-coding RNA, 3104 nt
Organism: Marmota flaviventris (yellow-bellied marmot)
Lineage: Eukaryota; Metazoa; Chordata; Mammalia; Rodentia; Sciuridae
Source: RefSeq, a predicted model, not a curated record
CACACAAAGUCUGCUUAUUCCUUUUCCCCAUUGUGCAGUUACCCUGGUAAAAGGCCUUGGUCCCUGGGGAAGGCUGGGAGGAGUGAUGAAUGGCAACAUCCUUUGUCAAGGAAUAGUGGGGACAGGGCCUCCCUCACUCAGGGGAUUCUGGGCCUGUGAACUCGCUCGGGUUAGACUUUUGCUCACUUGACAGAACUUCUCUGUUUCCACAGCUCUAAGAAUGCUAGGCUUCCCUGUCUGACUCCUGGGAACACCAUGAUCAGCUAGCCAAGUUGGUCCAGUGACAUAAGAAGCGACCAGCAAAUCUCAGAUCUGCUGAUUUGGGAAAACUGCUUGGAAUUGUGUGCAAUCACCCAGACCCUUGCUUCUUGCGUGUGUCUGAUCAGGGGGUGCAGUGGUAAGAUCCUGCAGUCUCUACCACUAAGUCACUCUGUGGACUGUCUGCUCUCUUUACAUCCUCGGCACCUUUAAUCAGGUUAGAGAGCCCAUUCCAGAAUCAAUUCUGAGUGCUCUUCCUUGAAAUUCUGCUGCUCCUCACAAUCCAGAUCACUAGUAUUCAGGGGUCUCCAGAGGAUCAGAACCAAUGGGACAUACCUAGAGACAGGGACAUAGUGUAAGGACUUGGCUAUUCGAUUGCCUGAGCUGACAAGCCCAAGAUCCACAGCAGGCAAGUGGGAGACUCAGGAGGGGCAGUGAUGCAGCUCCAGCCCCAGGAGGAGCUGACGUCUCGUCUCAGGUCAGAAGGCAGGAAAACGGUCCACUCCAGAGAAGGAGGCCAGCCUUUGUGUCCCUCUGGCCCCCAGAGGAUUGGAUGGGGCCACCCCUACUGGCAGGGCACUGCACUUUGCUCAGUCCAGAAAUUGAGUGUUCAUUUUGUCCAGAAGCACCUUUGUGGACAGCCAAAAUGAUGCUUGACCAACUAUCUGAGCAACAGUUAGGUUGCCCCCUAAAAGGAACCAUCACGGUACCUUGAUGCAGUGGAGUGCUGACGCAGGUGACCUUAGGGAGGGGCGGGGGGCGAGAGGAAGGGGUGCACCCGCGUCAGCAGAGACGCAGACCUUGCCUGGCACUCUGCGCAUCCAGGCCCCGUGUUAGCUUGCCUGCAGCCCGCUGGACCAGCCAUCUGGGAAGAGCAGGACUGUCAGUCAUAGUUAGUAGUUGUGGAUUAAAUUGUCUCCCCCCAAGUUCAUGUGAUGAAGCCCUAGCCUUAAUACGUCAGAACGCGACUAUCUUCAGAGACGGGCUCUAGAAAGGUGAUUGAAAUGAGGUCGUUAGGGCAGCCCUGACUCAGUCUGACUAGUGUCAGAAGCGACCGGCACACACCAGGUGCAUAGAGAGAUGACCAUGUGACAGACAGCAUGCAGGAAGCCACCUUCAAACCAAGGAGAGAGGCCAACAAGGAAAGCAACCCUACCAACGCCUGGAUCUUGGACUUCCAGACUCCAAAACUAUGAGAAAAUAGGUUUCUUUUGUUGAAGCCAUUAGCUUGUUUUGUUAUGGCAACCCAAGCAAAGUGACGCUGAGUACACACUGCUCAGUAUUUGCUGAAGAUUGGGUCAAUAAAAUGCUUUUUCCCUGGCCCUCUUUUCCCAUAGCUCACAGCUGCUGAAGGGAGGCAAACUUGUAAGUAAAGAAGCUGGUGGGUCCCAGAGUGUAGGAGCAGGAGCUGCCCAGGAAAGGGCAGCUCAUAGGUAGGUGUGGGCUGGGAGGGCGUUCCAGGCAAGGAGCCAGUGCGGGCAUCAGCCUCCAGCCAAGAACCACACCUCUGAGAACCACUGAGUGGUUUGCUACGUCCAACAGGCCACGUGUGGGGGGUGUGGGAGGAGGGCUUGAGGUUUGGGCAGCACCUGUGCCCACCCACAGCAGGGGCUGUGCUGGGGCUAGUGCACAUAGGGGACACCCGUCCAGGAGAGAUUUCUGAGGCCGAAGGGACGCCACAGUAGGCAGCCGCUGAGGCUGUGUUCCUAAUUAGCUGGGUUGGCAGGUGAUUUAGCACCUCUGAGCAUCACUGUCUUAAGUCAAAGGAGUCACGUGAGGAUUAAGCCUGAUUGUUGUUUAUGUAAGCCGCUUCACUCUUAGAAGAUGCUCAGCAACUUGCAGUCUGCUGGGGCUCCUGCAGAGUGGGGUACAGGAGUAAGACCCAAAGAAUACUGCCUUGGCAACGGAAGGGAGAACUGGGCUGGGAUUGGCUCCCACCCACCCUGCUCCAUCUGCAGGUAGGGUCCAUGUCUUCCUCUCAGCUUUUAUCCAUAUCAAAGGCCUGUUCAUCCCUUCAAGCCCCACCAUAAUGCCCUCUUCCUCCAAGAAGUCUUCCAAGGAGUGGGUGCACCUUGACCUGAAUGUCUGCAGAUCUCUGGAACAUGUGCCCACUGCUGUAGGUGGUCUCCUGUCAGGCGCCAGGCAGGAGAUGAGCCUGACACUUGCAAGAAACAGUCAUCAGGUCACUACAGCCACAAGAGUAGUCUCAGCAGCCCAGCAUGCCUCCCACACGGCUGUGCUAUGGUGACACCUCGGCCUGCUCAGCUGGCCUUUCAUCCCUUCAUUAGGGCAGCCCUGACCCAGCCUGACAAACACCAGGUGCCAGGGCAUGGGCCAGGUGCUGGGACUAGACCACCGUGCUCUCCAGCUGAAUCAUCAAAGAGAUGCGAGUGCAGCUGUGACAGGCGCCCAAGUGACACAGGUCCUGUGAGGUGUGAAGUGGUCCCCGUUACUGCCCACAUGUCUGCCCUCUGCGCCCACUGAACUCCACCAAGGAUGUCUGAAAGCUCACUUAUCCCAGACGUCCAACCCCACCCUCCUCACCCGCUCCCCGGGACCUUGAGACAGAAACCCCCUCCAGCCUUCCUGAAGGUGCCCCUUCUCCCCCAUCCUUCUGGCACAAUGAAAGGACCCACCUGUCAAGGCCAGGCCCUCCCCUUCACCCGCACAAGCACCUGAUUCACAGGCAGUCCUCCCCUCUCCUUCUGUCUAAAAAGACCUGUCCCACAUGCCCUUUCACUCAUCAUUUAUCCCACUUGUCUUCAAGAAUUUGCAUUUCCCUAAAAGAACUCUGAAAAAAAUUUCUGUCAACAUUUCAAGUUGAUAAAUAAAUUUUUCCAUCUCAA